GGGGGUGUGGCAGCCUCCGGAAGUCACGUGGGCAUUACUAAGACAUGACUGUGUCAGAGAGGGAACAGAGAUGAGAGGAGAGGUACAGCAACCUCAUGGGGCGGGGCAGGGGGAGCCUGGGCUUGAUCGGGAGGCCAUGACAGGCAGGGCCAGGUGCGAAGCAGGAAAGCUCAGGGAGGCCAGUUCAGAGCUCUGGGAGACAGCAGGCUGCAGGGUUCAGAUCUGGGUGGUGGCUGAGGAGAUAGGGAGAAGGGACUGACCAGAGAUACUUAAGGGGAGAAGGACCAGACUGGUGCCUGAUUGCUUGUGGGUAGUAAGGGAGCAGGAGGAGUUCUGGUCUCUAGGGAGAGAGGGAGGAGGAGGCUAGCAGCCAGCCGGCCACCAGUUACCUUGGACACAACCCUCAGGGACCCUGCCCCCGCUAUUGCAGAGCUAUGGCCUCUGACAGCGGCCUGGCAGCAGCCAUCUCCCCCCCAUACACCGCCUUCCCCAGGGGCGGACGUGCAGCUCUGCUGGCUCCCAGCCCAGCGCUCCUCCCUCAGCAGUCCGCUCUGCUCCGUGCAGCCAGCAGGGGAGGAAGGGAGGACAGGGCCGCAGGAGUCUGCAGGCCAGAGGGGGAGGGAAGACCAGGAAGCCUGCCUGGGGACCCCAACCAGGAGCCUUGCAGUGAGAGAGGGCGUGGCAGGCGCCAGGAGGAACCCAGCCCUGUCACAAACCAUGCCCUGGCCUCUUGCCAGCCACUGUAUGGAUGGAGACACUGAGGCCCAGAGAUGGCCGGGGGCAGAAAGACUAGAAGAACUCAGGGCUGAACCACAGGAGAGGGGACUUGAGCUCACUCAUCUGGCAGCAAGUGAAGACGCGCUGAUCUUUUCGUGUUCCUUUGACAAGAAGCUAUCACGAGGAAUGGAAGGAUCCUGGACCCAAAAAACCACAGGACCCAGCAGGAAACAAGAGGACAGGCUCAAACUCUGGGUUUCUGAGCCUACGCUCCCCUCUCUGGAGGCCAGGUCCCCCAAAUGUAGAAGGAUGGACUGAUCAGUGAUUUUAAAGAACCGGUUCACCGCCAAUCGCUGUACCACGCACCCAACUCUCCCAAAGUUUUCUAAAACAAAAAUACAAACCUCACCGCCCUCCACCCGGGGUUCCACAACUGGAGGCCUUCCGAGAUGAUCCGACUGCCGGGGAUCCAGCAGCCCGACCAGCCCCGUCCCAGAACGAGACCGACCCCCAGACCACGCCGCCCAUACGCAAGCCCGGGGCGGCGGCCCCUAGGGGGCAGUGUUGCCCCGGACUUGCCCAGCGAGCGCGGAGAAACGCGGGUACUGGGAACUGGGGCUCCCACAGCACCCCGCAGCAAUCCCUCCGCAGAGAGCAGGCGUGGGUUUGUAUUUUCGCGGAGGUGGGGGACAGGCACUCGUUCCGGCUGCCCGUGCGGAUUGAGGCUACACUGAGGCCUGUGGGGGAAAGGGAAGGGGCGAGGACCUGUCAGCAUCUGCCGUGCACCCCUUUAUCCCUGAGCACCUCCCCAAGGGGUGACAGGUACCCAUCUCGCUCCACCUACCUAGCCUCACCUCCAGUCCCCCAUCCCACCCCGCCAGGAAGCCCCGAGGCUGCAGCCUCGCCUGCCGCAGCUCAAACUCAGAUCGCGGAUCCGGACACAACAUCUCAAGGGGGUUCGACAGGAGGGCGACUCCUGCUGCGAAUCCCCGCCCCACCCCAGGGCUAGCCUUAGCUCUAGUCCGGGGGUCCCAGGGGACUGUUCGAUUCGAGUUCAAUACAACGGUAUAAAUGGGGGAGGUAGGAAGAAGGUGAAG
This 1814-nucleotide long non-coding RNA is filed under the name Fukomys damarensis (Damara mole-rat). Its description in RNAcentral is "lncRNA (ENSFDAG00000032504.1)". The record is from RNAcentral. Lineage: Eukaryota; Metazoa; Chordata; Mammalia; Rodentia; Bathyergidae.